UCUUAAGUCAAUUGUUUGAUGAUUUUUUUAAAAAUUUAAGUCAUAAAUAAAUAUGUAUUAAUGUUAAUAAAUACAUGAAACACACAUGUCGAGUGGGUAUGGAAGACAUGCUUAAAGCUCAUGUGUGCUAACCAGCAUUAAAUAUUGACUCUUGAAAAAACAAUUUGUGCCACUUUUGUGUAUAAGGCAUGUCUGGCUAUGAUGGGGAGGAAAUAUAUUAUUGUAGCCCAAUGAAGAUUAUAGUAAUCCUUCAAAAAAAUUCUCACUUUCCUGUGGCUGGGCUGCAGUAACUUUUAAAUUAUUCUGAAGGUGGCAAAAUGAAAAAGGUGAAACUAAAGAAAGUUUACUGUAGUAUCUAACAGUUUUUGUUUUUUAUCCAACACAAAUGUAGGAAAGAAAAAAAAACGAGAUACGAGAUGCUUACGAUAAGGUGAGACUUUUUUGAUGAGUGCUUCAGUAAACAUUCAGAUUUUGACAGUUUCAUGUUUUCAUUAGACUAGGUAUUAUUUGAUGGUGUAUCCAUAUUUAUUUUGUUAAUUUUAUUAUAAUAUUAAGCUACCAAAGUUUGGAUGUUUGUUGCAGCUUCUGCCAAAAAAAUGUCUCUCAUUGUCUUGAACUUUGUGUAGUAAAAGUUAAGCAUAUUUUUCCCCCUCCAGGGCAUGCAUGCUUGUGUGAAGGUGCUGACGUGUUAUUUGCUACGUGAGUCUCUCUUGUUAGCUGGGUGGAAGAAGAUAAUUGACUGAGGUGUCACAUGAACAUUUUUGAUGGCAGUUAUUGUGCAUGCAUGCUGUCUUUGCUGUGUAUGAUAUAGUCUGAAAACAUGCUGGCAGUUCUAACCGCGGUGUGUACAGUUGUGGCCCCAAACAACAGCUGUGUUCAGUCCAGCUUUCACCGUUAUUUGCUUUAAGUAAGAUAUUCGGUAUCUUCAAAGUUUUGUUAUCUUUCCCAAAGUCAAAGCUGAAGAAAAGUAGUCUUCAAUUGGACUUCGGACUUCCGGAAGCUUCGUUACAGCCAUCAUUUUUAUCAUUAGCGUCAACGUUGGUGUAUGAUUGGUGAGCACAGCCAACCUGUUUGAAGUACGUGGGGGCAGGUUACUAUCAUUGUAAAGAAGUAUAACUGCCGUGAUGGUAAAUGGUGUGGAAUAUUACCACUCUCUGACUCGGAGCCAGAUUUAGAUCACACAGUGACACACAUACAUGUUCUCUGGGGUUGUCACGAUAUGUGCACUGUCCCAUAGUAGAAAAAAUGGCUUAUGGUAAUGGUAAUAUAAUUAUUUGAGACUAAGGAGCAAUCAAAAAAUUUCCCAGAUUUUGGAUUUUAUUCAUUUUCAUAAUUAACUAGUUAGAACAGGCACACAAAAUAUUUAUUAGCAGCACAAUAUUUGUUGUAAACUAUUUGUACAGUUGCAAAAAUAUUGUGAGAUAAUAUAUGCAUGGUGCUGCAAAAACUACGCAGAUAUCGUGCAAAUUCUGAACCUCUCAGAUUUAAAAUAUGUUAUAUUUUCAUUUGUGUUGAUACUUCGCACGUGUCUAUAUCUUUUGGUUCUUGCCCAUUUUUUUUAAGUAUAUCUGAUAUAAGGUAGAUAACUACAGUAGAACCCGUUUAUAGUGAACCCGCCUAUAAUGAAUUCCCGUUUAUUGUGAAUUUCCGUCUCAGUCCCGGCAAAAUGAUGUGAGGUUAUGUAUUAACUUAUUGGAUAUAGCGCACAAAUUUUGUCAAUGUUGAUACGUUUUCCCUUGUACCACGAACAAAUUUUGCCGGCAUAAUGCACAUUUAUCUGAAAUAUUUUCAUAUAAUUACAAGUUUUUUCACAAAACGUCUAUUCUGGAUCACAUUGAAGUUUUUCUCAGCAAUACGCUACUCGAUUGUCCACUGUUCAUAUUAUAAACAAGUCGUAUUCGAGUGGCCUCGGUAGGCUACGUGUAGCCAAAAAUGGUGAUCAGUUUGGUGAAAAUAAAAAAUAGUUUUCCCUGCAUAGUUAAAGAAUGGGCGAACGCAUUAACAUUUAAUAUGUUAUCAAAAUUAAACAUAAAUUACAGCCACACAAAUACGUAUGUACAUUAUAGCAGCAAAUUGAAUAUUUUUACGUCUCAUUUUAUCGUUCACGUUACGGACAUUUUUAUCGAGUAAGGUUCGUAAGACUACCACUAGAUAGAACUCUGUGGACUAAAUUUUUCCAUAGAAUGUAAGAAAAUUUCGUUCCAGCUUUAGUAACUGCGAUACUAAAUGAUGCGUGGUGAUCUUUGAUGCGUCAGACUUUUUAUUUUUCGUUUAUUUACUUUUGACGGUAAAAUUUUGUUGUGUUAUUAAGCUGCAAAUGUGCUUCAAUAAGAAAUACGUACAUAAAAAAGGGUGAAAAACGCGGUAAAAAACAUAAGGCAUUAUCUGUGCGAGAUAAACUGGACAUUACUGUCCCGCACGUGUUAACAGCAAAGGAACUGGGAAUUGCAACAUCCACAUUAAGUACAAUAUUAAACAAGAUGAACAAUCUUCUUUCACAAGCUGCGAAAACGUCACAGAGUAUUAAAUGCCUGAAAAAAGGAUAAUACGCCAAUGUCCAAGAACCAUUAGUGCGGAGAUGCAGAGUGGGGCCGGCUGUACCUUGAGACAAUUCUGGCUCGCAGCGCUCUGAACUGGCCAAAGCCUUACAUACAAGUUGGUAAGCAGAUGGUGCUCCAAUGGAAAGCCAUAAAUUUGGAAACAAAAUUUUAAUUAAUUUAUUAAAACAUGGCCUCAAUCUUAACUUGAACCUGAAAUGGUAAGUUACUAAGCAUGGUAUUUUUUUAAAGAAAAUGAUAUUGCUUUACAGUAUAUGCUUCCUUGAAAUGUAGAUAUGUUUUCCAUUUCCUAAAAAAAACUUUUUUUUUAAGUUUGAAUUUACCUACAUCACAAUCACUUUUUAGUUGUUAAAGAAUUGGUACUAGGAGGAGCACUAAAAAAUCUUAAUGAUUUUCCUCCAAACAUAAUUGCUAGUUACUACUAAUGUACUAUUAAUUAGCAUGAUAUGAGGUGUUUUUGCAAGCAUGAGAACCUACAAAAAUCUGCAGUGGUAAUGGUCAUGACUUUAAUAUCUCAUUUGUUGUUUUAAAUUAUAUAAAAAAAAUAGUAAUAUAGUAAUUAACUGUAAAUUAUCAAACUUUUUUUUUAGUACAGUCAUUUAGGUUUAUGCUUCUGUUGUUGAAGUUUUAUAUAUUUGUGUUAGUUCAAUUUUGCUACUUACUACACAGAUUUGAAUCAUGCAUUCACGAUGAUUGGGUACCAUUUUUAUCCAUGUUGUUGAUGCAGAGGCAGGACGUCAUGUGUCAAAAUUGGUAGAUUUUCUUAAACCAAAUUUAUCCCAGUGUGAAAAAAAAAAAAAAAAUUUCCACUUGGAAGCGAUAAUUAAAAUGAAGGAAUCUGUUGGGUGUGAGCCGGAGGCAAGCGCAGAUGUGCUCUACAGGGUGGUGCGCCCUCAUUGGGGCGAGGAGCGGGGUGGGGGACUUGGGGGACGUUGCAGUGAGUCUGUGGGUCUUCUCACUGCACUCCCGUAGCUGCUCCGACCCUUGUCCGCCUUCGCUGGCCUCCGAGUCAGCGAGUCCUUGUAUUGCAGUUGCACAUCGUCCAGUCCUCUUGGCUUUGGUCACGACAGCGUGCCGAGGAGGAACGUUCGUAAAAAAAAAAUCAGUAUUAUUCGAUCUCGGUUGAUAAGUUAACUUUCGUGCUAGCAUCCAAGCUGAAAGCUGUGGCUAAUGCUGUGUUUUGUUCUGCAGAAUGUAGAGGGUUGAAACGAACUUGGCCGGUGUGGUGUGCCGUAUAAAGAUGGUCCGCUGAGUUGUGUUGGGCACAGCAGAGCCCGUGUCACGUAAGUACAGGGCGUGACAGAUGCACUUAGCAGCCAGCGAAGUCACCAUGUGCAGGGAACAUCACCUGCAUCCUGUAAGUUACUGAGCAGCGACGUACCUACCAUACCUUCCGGACAUCGUUGAUGGGUGUGUGAUGAAGUGAAAUCUACUUUAUUUCUUUUCAGCUUUUGUAAGAUUCUACUUUUUUUUCUUUCUUAUACUUACCUGCAGUCUCUGUACAUGCAUAUAACGUUAGUCAAACUAUGCAGGACCAGAUAUUUUUUUUCAAUGUGGUUGGUUUAAUGUGUUUGGAGGCAAAGUCAUGUUAAGAUGUAGCAGCACAGAGAGAGAGAAAGCUGAAGAUGUACAUAUAUGUAAGGGAGGGGUGGAAGGGGGCAAAGCCCAGAAACCAAUUAGCCUAAUGGGUCCAACUGGGAAAACAUUUUCCCCCUGCCAUAAAAAAUUUUUUAACUACGUAUUUCACUUUUUGGUCUGAUGUGUUUCUGACACAUCUGCCUAACACCAGUAAUCUAACAGCAGCACUGAUAACACGGAGUUCACCAGAGGGCUUACGGAAUAGCAAGUACGAGCCCUCCACUUAGCACCAAUGUGUCGGAUAAAUGUCUUCCGACUUUGGGAAAUAAAAAAAAAUUGCUUUUUCAAUGCCAGUAUUGAAAAUAUUGUUCGUAAAGUCUCCCUGCAAUCCCUGACAAUGUACAGUAAAACUCGCUUAAGACGUUCCUGCCUAACACGUUUUCCCGUUUAUUAAGUUCAAAAAAUUAUUCCCUUGAUCACUUCCAUAUAUCUCUAUGUUAAUAUUUCCCUUUCAUAACGUUUGUCUUUAUAUAUGCUUCCCGCAUAUAACGUUCAGCGUUUGUGGGAAAAAAAAAAAAAAAUAAUAUCGUUUAUCUUUAAGCUUUUGAACAAUUUUUAAGGUUAAUUUUAAAAAUUUACAUAUUUCCGAACGUUUAAUACCGUAUUGGUCCGAAUAUAAGGCGGCCAUUUUUACAUAAACGAGAUGCGAAAAUUGGAAGACGCCUUAUUUUCGCACCCAAGACGUCAGCACCGCUAACAUUAGUUCCAAGCUGAAAGCUACAGUAGAAACAUUUUUAAACAUAAUGUUCACGAUUUUUUAUAUUAACUAAAACAUUGUUACCUCACACGGGGAAAACGAUAUAUCCACCCAAUAUUGCAGUAAUUCACAAUUGUUUAAAGUUGAAAAUUAAAAUAUUUGUUCUUGAGUAAUAAUGUGAAUGUUGAAGCAUCUCAAAAUGGCAACCUUUUAUUACACAAUUCAUAUUUGUACUUUGUGUACAAUCGCGUGUUAACAUUCACGGUAAUUUAAUUUCAGAUUUUUAACGGAAAUAUUUGUACUUAAAUAUCACAGCUAUUUUCAGAACGAUUGUUUACGUUUACAAACAGAAAAUGUUAAGAACAUUUCAGAUGUAAUGUUUGGAAAUUCAUGGUUGCCAACUAUCGUUCCACAAUAUUUCUUUGUUGUAAAACGAACAUUGCCGAACACGCACGAAGACGCCAUAUUUACAGGAAUAUGGUACGUUGCUUCAAAAUCUAUUUUAAUAAUUUCACAGUAAUCCACUCUUUAUUUAUGUAAAAACCUUUCAAACAACUUAAUUAUCUUAGAUUAUUCUUUAAAAUUCAUAGGACAGAGACUCUGUCAGAGAGUAAUAUGGACAAAUAUUCGCGGUCACGUCACCAAAGUUAUUCAUGGCCGUAUGCUUCACCAUGGCAGCUAGCCACUUGUUUUGUUCCGGCAAGCUGCAUUCUUUAUUUGCUUUGUUACGUUUAACACACUACUAAAUAGUAAUACGUAGCUGUGAAACGGAAAGUUAAAUGCUGUAUACAUAAAUGUAAAAAGGAUUUAUCAACACAAAACGUACGUCUAAUGAAUUUUCACAAUAAUUUCUACCAAAAUUAUUUUUGCAUUUGUUUGGCCUCCUGAAACUGCAGGUUGUCUUAUAUUUGGGCCAAUACGGUAGUUAAUUUGAACAGAACAAGACCGUCGAAAAACCUGCGCCGCACGCCACACGCUGUUACUUGUGUGCUAGAAAAUCUGGAAAAAUUAUAUAAAUGUCAAGAUUACUGCACACUAGUAGGUAAGAAUUAAACCAAAAUAUUGGCAGCACACACUACCAGACAAAACAAAAAUAUGGCGGACAUGACAUUAUACUAGCUGACAAUAUAUACGUUGGCAUGUGUGGUGUUAGUCUGCUGGCGGCUUCUGCAGAGAAUGGAUCUAUCAAUAUUUAUUUUUCCUCUCACCAGUUUCGAACCAAGGACUCCAUGAUGUAAGUAAAUUUUUAAAUAGUAUUUUAUUAAAAUUUAUUAAAUAAUUUUUUUAUAAACUUAUAAUUAUUUCCUGAAUUUCUUGCAUAAAAAAUACAGAUUUUCAAAAUGGCUGCCAUAGCUAAAAGAGUGACUAUGUCGUCAUAGUCAUCCAAGAUGGUGGGGCAUAACGAAACAUGAAACAUUUCUAGAACUCAAGAUGGUGACCUUAAAAAUAUGUACAACAGUGUUUUAAAAUGAUUUUUAUAAAAAUUUUAUUUUAUAAUUUUUCCAGAUUUUUUAGCAUAAAAAUUAUGGAUUUUCAAGGUACGGCCGUAACGAAAAUUGCAACAGUUACAUUUUAGUACUAGAUGACGUGUGUUACUUAAAACAAUUUUAUUAACUUUUAUUGAGAAUGUUUUAAAUAUAUUAAUAAAUUACUGGUUUUUCUCGGCAGGAAUCGAACCAAAGUCAGAAAUCUAUUAAGUAACUAAACAUUUGAAGUUUGCAAUUGUUUUAAUAUUUUUUAUAAUUUUUUGAUCAAAAAUUAAAGAAUAUUAAUUUUAUGGUCAAGGUCAAAUCUCCCCAUCCGCGGUUCAGGGGCUGCUUGCUUUUAGGUGUCUUAAGCUGCUUUAAGGAAUUUUGGUUCUUUCUAAAGCAAAAGCCUUUUGAGGUUUUUUGAAUUAUGAAUUUUUUAAUUUAUCAGGAAUAAAACAGGAAUUUUCACUCAAAACGGGAAUUUUCCCCUCAUAAUUAAAAUUUUUUUUUGGAAUGUUGAGUUUAGUCUGAGAUGGCCGCCGUAAUGUCACAAAUCAAGAUGUGGUUUGACUCGCGUCUCUAGCACCUGUACCCGGAUGCCCUAUUGUAUACUACUAUUGUUUUUCCGAUUGUGCUUCCUUUUCGUUGAUUGUGUGUCGUUUCGGUAAAGGUGCGUAGUCAGAUCUGUAAUAGAUCAUAAUAUUUACUGGUUCAAAACCUCUUAGUAUUGAUAAAACUUUUUUCAGCGAUUCUUAGUCCUUUAGUAAGUGUAAAACAUGUUACGUUAGUCUAAUUGAUUGUAACGGAGUUCAUGAUACUUUAGGUUUGACAACUUUGUCUUGACUGGUUGAAAUAUGUUAUAUUAGUUAUCGAUGAAUGUCAUGAGGUUCGGAAAUGUGUGGCCUAUACGUCUAAUAUUGUUCAUGACCUGGUCUGGUUUUGUGAUUCGAAGAAGCUUGGCCUAUAUGUAUAGUACUGUACAUGAACUGUUAGAAUGUAUUUCAUGUAUCGAAAAUAAUUGACUUCCAUGUUAGGCAACAUAAUAACAUAUUUAAUUCGUCGGACAGGUAUUUCGUCUAGUGUUUUUUUCUUUGUAGAGUGAAUGAUUAAUAAUCUCCACGAAAGUUUUGGAAAACAGAAUAUAAAAAUUAUUUUAAGCUUUAGUUAUCCUUGCCACUGGCCGAGAGCCAAACCAAGGACAGAAAUCUGUAAAACCAAUCAUCAUUUUAAUAAGUGAAUUUUUUCCAAAUUUAUAUUUAAAUCAAUACAUAUCAGCUGACCGGAGUCCGGUAUUUGAGUAAAUUAAGCUGCUUUGGGGGUUUUUGAAAAUAAUUUAUUAAAUAAGUAUUUUUUCACAUAUUUGCAUUGGUCAAAGAUCGAAGGACAGGAAUCCAUUAAUUCAAUGAGUAAAUUGAGUGAAUUUUUUGAUGUAUUUAAAAUAUAUCCCUAAAUUUCUAAGUUAAUUAUUAUGAAUUUUCAAAAUGGCGGACAUAUCGGCUUAUAGGAGGUUGGUUAGCUAUGAUAGUAAGCUUCCUAAGGACAUUCCACCUAAUUUUAUUGAAAUUAAUAAUCUUACAUAAAAUUAAUUUUUUUGUAUCGCCCAGGGUUCAAACCAAGGACAGGAACUAAUUGAAUCAACAAGUAUAUUAAAUGCAAAUUUAUUUAAUGAAUUUUGGAAUUUUUCACAAUUAUUUUUAGCUAACUAAUUAAGAAUUUCCAAGAAAGCACCCAAAUGUCAAGAUGGCUGGUGCCACAGUAAUAAUAGAUUACUGCACUUUUAUCAGGUAAAAAUUAAAAUAAUAUGAUGGUAAAACACACUAGCAGAUGGCUUGUGUACUACAUGUACCUAGUGCUCCUUGUAUCAAUUACUGUAAUAAACAUGGCAUCAGCGCACACUCUAGCCUAUGAUGUGUUCACUAGCACUCCUGGUAGCAAGCAUUGAAAAUUAAUAUGACAGUUCAGUCUCGAACAGGCGAUGUUAAUAUUCCUUCAAAAAAAAAAAAUCUAAUUCAAUUAUGUGUUAAUCUUUAUAUACCUUAUUUAAUUCUUAGUCUGGAAAAUGUUGCAAUGUCCAUUCGGUGAAAGGUGAAUGUUUUUCAACUUGAAAGUCAAAGCUGUGUCUGUUUGAAUUAGAACUUCUAUAAGUUUUGCAUAAAAAAUUUAAUUGAAUAUGAUGAAUAAGUCCAUAGCAGCUCUGAUAAGUAAUGGAACACUGACAGCAACACUGGUGCUCUCAAGGAAGUGUCAGUAGAAACAAGCUGGUCUCCUUGUGCUAAAAAAAAGGUGGACAGUGUUGAAGAAACAUAAAAUUUGUUGUGUCAGUAUGCUAAAAUCUUGCCUCUUUUAAAUGUAUUAAAUAAACUUCAGUGAGAUAUUA
Molecule: long non-coding RNA, 8739 nt
Organism: Bacillus rossius redtenbacheri
Lineage: Eukaryota; Metazoa; Arthropoda; Insecta; Phasmatodea; Bacillidae
Exons: 3
Source: RefSeq, a predicted model, not a curated record